This 468-nucleotide ribosomal RNA is filed under the name uncultured bacterium. RNAcentral's name for it is "partial 16S ribosomal RNA". It matches the Rfam family "Bacterial small subunit ribosomal RNA", at positions 28 to 507 of the family's 1533-position model. The record is from RNAcentral.
GACGAACGCUGGCGGCGUGCUUAACGCAUGCAAGUCGAACGGAAAGGCCCUGCUUUUGUGGGGUGCUCGAGUGUCGAACGGGUGAGUAACAUGUGAGUAACCUGCCCUUUACUUUGGGAUAACUUCAGGAAACUGGGGCUAAUACCGGAUAUGAGCUCCUGCUGCAUGGUGUGGGUUGGAAAGUUUCGGCGGUUGGGGAUGGACUCGCGGCUUACCAGCUUGUUGGUGGGGUAGUGGCUUACCAAGGCUUUGACGGGUAGCCGGCCUGAGAGGGUGACCGGCCACAUUGGGACUGAGAUACGGCCCAGACUCCUACGGGAGGCAGCAGUGGGGAAUAUUGCACAAUGGGCGGAAGCCUGAUGCAGCAACGCCGCGUGCGGGAUGACGGCCUUCGGGUUGUAAACCGCUUUCGCCUGUGACGAAGCGUGAGUGACGGUAAUGGGUAAAGAAGCACCGGCUAACUACGUG